CCUACGGGUGGCAGCAGUGAGGAAUAUUGGUCAAUGGCCGGAAGGCUGAACCAGCCAUGCCGCGUGAAGGUCAGUGCCCUAUGGGCGUUAAACUUCUUUUGUGCGGGAGCAAUAAUGGUAACGUGUGGCCAGACGAGAGUACCGUACGAAUAAGCAUCGGCUAACUCCGUGCCAGCAGCCGCGGUAAUACGGGGGAUGCAAGCGUUAUCCGGAUUUAUUGGGUUUAAAGGGGGCGUAGGCUGUGGGGUAAGUCAGCGGUGAAAUGCCCCCGCUCAACGGGGUGAAGUGCCAUUGAUACUGCCGUGCUGGAUUGCGGCUGCCGUGGGAAGAAUGUGUGGUGUAGCGGUGAAAUGCAUAGAUAUCACACAGAACACCGAUUGCGAAGGCAUCUCACGAAUCCGCGAUUGACGCUGAUGCACGAAAGCGUGGGUAUCAAACAGGAUUAGAUACCCUAGUAGUC
RNAcentral lists this ribosomal RNA (460 nucleotides) under uncultured bacterium. Its description in RNAcentral is "partial 16S ribosomal RNA". It matches the Rfam family "Bacterial small subunit ribosomal RNA", at positions 338 to 795 of the family's 1533-position model. The record is from RNAcentral.